CACGCGACCCCUUUGGAGAGGUGGCAGAGUGGUCGAAUGUACCUGACUCGAAAUCAGGCGUACGUGUAAGCGUACCGUGGGUUCGAAUCCCACCCUCUCCGCCAGACACAAAAACGCCCCCUCGCGGGGCGUUUUUGUGUCUGGCGGAGAGGGUGGUGUGG
Molecule: small RNA, 161 nt
Filed under: Rhodanobacter sp. C06
Lineage: Bacteria; Pseudomonadati; Pseudomonadota; Gammaproteobacteria; Lysobacterales; Rhodanobacteraceae
Description: Proteobacterial sRNA sX4
Rfam family: Proteobacterial sRNA sX4
Source: Rfam by way of RNAcentral